Long non-coding RNA from Lagopus muta (rock ptarmigan), 1060 nucleotides. RefSeq lists it as uncharacterized. The transcript has 3 exons. Lineage: Eukaryota; Metazoa; Chordata; Aves; Galliformes; Phasianidae. The record is from RefSeq and is a predicted model, not a curated record.
GGGGUGAUUUGCUUCAGAGCUAGACUUCAGUCUUGCUGGAGGAAUGGUAGCUGAAAAGAGAAGAAGGCAGCUCUAAAAAUUGCUUCUCAGAACCUGCAUAAAUUUGUUGGAUUUUGAGAUAUGACAGAAUGAAAGGUCUGCAGGAGUUGUGGUUUGUCCACAAAAAGCAGGAUGGGCAGGUGCAAGGACUUCUAAGAUAUUUCUGAACUGUUAACUGCAUUGCGCCUAGAAGGCCAGCUUCUGUUCUCCAUCACAGCCCUCAACUGAAAGCAGCUGAAGUUACACAGAGCGAUGUUUGCUGUCUUGAUUCUUGUUGUUGGUGAUCAAUGAAGAAGGCACAAUUUAAUUUCCAGAUCCUACCAGACAUGGACAGGGUUGGCUAUUAGGAAACAUGCUUAUUUUACAAGAACCCACUGAAAAAUGGAAACUCUUGCAUGUGGAGGAAAAAAAAAAAAAAAACACACCUCCUUUCAAAGAUGUCAGAUCCACUGCUACAAUAGACUGUAUCUGCUGUUCUUACCAUUUUUUUUCCUGUAAUACUUAUUAGCAGAUACAGAUUCAGUACAGUCCUUUCUGUGAUACUUGUAUUCAAAAAGUUAAAUUCCUGAAGUGUCAUUGUUUUUGUUUUGUUUUAACUUAGAAAAGAAUUAUAUAGGAGAGAUGAUACUCAUUUAACCGUAGUUAUUCUUUGUGUGUAGAAUUACUUCUCUUUAUGGUGCAAUAAAUGCAUAAACAGAAAAUCCACAAAUAAUCACAUUCCAGCUUUAUCAAAUAACUGUGAUUAUAAAAGCCAAUUUCCAAACAAAUAAUCACAAAGUGUAAUAAGAAGUUACUCAUAUGCUUAUCUGUUUGUUUCAUGGGCAUCUCUGGCAAACUUGUCUUCUGUGCAAUUAUGGUCCUCUGUUUGUAUUUCUGUUAUCAUCUGCAGCUUGAGUUCAAGAUACUUAGAACUGUAUGCAAAAGUCAAAGCGUAAUAUAAGUCUUUGGCAGGAAUAUUAACUGCCUCAGCCACAGUAAUCAACGCUUUUAUUAAACAUAUUUGGUAAAUGCCAAGAAUCAG